Molecule: non-coding RNA, 51 nt
Filed under: Chloropicon mariensis
Lineage: Eukaryota; Viridiplantae; Chlorophyta; Chloropicophyceae; Chloropicales; Chloropicaceae
Source: RNAcentral
UCGUUUCAUCCCUUUUUUUUUGUUCUUUUUUUUUUUUUUUUUUUUUUUUUU